Molecule: non-coding RNA, 21 nt
Filed under: Caenorhabditis elegans
Lineage: Eukaryota; Metazoa; Nematoda; Chromadorea; Rhabditida; Rhabditidae
Source: RNAcentral
UCUGUACUUGAAGCUACGACG